AUCAACAACUGACUGAAUAACAGCACAAGUGCCGCUGAAUAAUUUUCAAGAAGCUUUAAUUCAAUUUUCUUAGUAAAAUAUAAUUAAAAUGUUCGAACUGAGCAAAAUACUUUUUGUAACGCUUUUGCUUUUUAUCCUUCUACUCGCUUUGACCAGCGCGCGGUAUGCAGGCGGCGAGCACGAGUACAGGAGAGUGGGAUCUAUAUUCCAACCGGAACCAGACCCGACCAUAUUUCGUCCCACUAUUGAGAGUGCACAAGUCAGUGGCGCACCAGCCAUGGAGCUCGAUAACGGUAUGGACUAUAUGGAAUGAUUAUAUAAUAUCGCUGAUGGAUGGCGGUCAAUGACCCUACUUUGCACGGCGGAAAGUAUUUAGCGCAAGCUGUUUGCCGUUAUAAUUUCACGAAUGCCCCUAUGUGAAGAGAUUACGUCGUAAUGGUACAAAUAUUAUUAAGACAAAGUGUAGUUAAUGUUCACCUAAAUGCCAGAAUUUCAUAAGCACUCUUCUAUGCUUGUAUGUAUGUAUUUAUGCGCUUAUUUAAUAUAGUUCGGCGAUUACUCAGCUGUUUUAGCGAGCCUUGCGUUGA
Long non-coding RNA from Bactrocera neohumeralis, 587 nucleotides. RefSeq lists it as uncharacterized. NCBI's taxonomy places the organism in Eukaryota, Metazoa, Arthropoda, Insecta, Diptera, Tephritidae. The transcript is spliced from 2 exons. The record is from RefSeq and is a predicted model, not a curated record.